UUGCUUUGGUAGCACAUCUACUAAAAUUAGAACAAUAAAGAGAAUAUUAGCAUGGCCCCUGCACAAGAAGGACGUGCAAAUUCAUGAAGUGUUCCGUAUUAAA
This 103-nucleotide small nuclear RNA is filed under the name Salvator merianae (Argentine black and white tegu). Lineage: Eukaryota; Metazoa; Chordata; Lepidosauria; Squamata; Teiidae. The record is from RNAcentral.